Molecule: long non-coding RNA, 767 nt
Filed under: Marmota monax (woodchuck)
Lineage: Eukaryota; Metazoa; Chordata; Mammalia; Rodentia; Sciuridae
Source: RNAcentral
GUUUGCAAAAAAAAAAAAAAAGAAUAUAAACAGACAUGUGUUCAGUAUUGCUGAAUGGGUUAAUCAGUGUUUGGGAAAAGGAAAAAGGAAGAAUUUAAUCAACUAAUCAACUUAAUCUCUUCUUUUCCAAUUUUUCUGAAUAACCUCACAGAGCUCUCCCACUCUGUCCUCCCUUUACUGACUCAGUAAAACUGGUCAGGCCAAGAAUCUAUACUUUUUUCUAACAGGGCUCCAAAAUGAUCUGACAGUUUGAGAAAAUGUAACCAAAAUCUAAAAAUCCCAGAAUUCAAUUGGACUUCAGUAAUAAUGUCGACUCUGUUAGGUUGGCAUUUCUGUUUACUGCAUUCCCCACAUCACCGUAGCACCUGGCACACAAUAGGCAUUUAAUAGGCCUAGACGGUACAGUGUUAGAGUGCUUUCCUAGCAGAUGCAAGGUCAAUCCACAACUGGGUUCAAUCCACGCACCUCAAAAAAUUUUGUUUUAAAUUUGAAUAAAAUAAUAGUUCUCUCUCUCUCUCUCUUUUUUUUUUUGCAUUUUGAAAAUACUUGCUAAACAAUUAUUCGCUGAUCCUCACAGGCUAGAUAUCAGAGUCCUCAUUUUACACAAAAUGAAACUGAAUUCAACAAGAUCAGGUGACUCACCAGGUCACACAGCUAAUGAGAAUUGCCACAAACUCCCUCCAAGAAAUUCCCCUCACCCAGCAGAUAGAAUGAAUGUGAUAAGGAGGAUCAUGGGCAGAAGAAUGCAGAUCUAAACACACACACAC